Molecule: ribosomal RNA, 202 nt
Filed under: uncultured bacterium
Lineage: Bacteria
Description: partial 16S ribosomal RNA
Rfam family: Bacterial small subunit ribosomal RNA
Source: RNAcentral
GCAGGCUGCAACCCGCCCUGCAUGAAGCCGGAAUCGCUAGUAAUCGCGGAUCAGAAUGUCGCGGUGAAUACGUUCCCGGGCCUUGUACACACCGCCCGUCACACCAUGAGAGUCGAUAACACCCGAAGCCUGUGAGCUAACCGUAAGGAGGCAGCAGUCGAAGGUGGGGUUGAUGAUUGGGGUGAAGUCGUAACAAGGUACC